This 346-nucleotide ribosomal RNA is filed under the name uncultured eukaryote. RNAcentral describes it as "SSU rRNA". It matches the Rfam family "Eukaryotic small subunit ribosomal RNA", at positions 594 to 945 of the family's 1831-position model. The record is from RNAcentral.
AUAGCGUAUAUUAAAGUUGUUGCAGUUAAAAGGCUCGUAGUUGAACUUCAGACCUGGCUGGAUGGUCUGCCUAACGGUAUGUACUGUCCGGCUGGGCCUUACCUCUUGGUGAGCCGGCAUGCCCUUCACUGGGUGUGUCGGGGAACCAGGACUUUUACCUUGAGAAAAUUAGAGUGUUCAAAGCAGGCUUAUGCUCGAAUACAUUAGCAUGGAAUAAUAAAAUAGGACGUGCGGUUCUAUUUUGUUGGUUUCUAGAGUCGCCGUAAUGAUUAAUAGGGAUAGUUGGGGGCAUUAGUAUUCAGUUGCUAGAGGUGAAAUUCUUGGAUUUACUGAAGACUAACUACUG